AAUAUAAUAUGAGAGAGAUAGGGAAAGGGUAAAGAGGUAAAAAAAAUUUUAAGAAAGAAAGAUUAGGACCUGCCCUGGUCGAGCAUUGCUCUCUGGGCUUAGUAGAGUGUGGUUGUCGGAGUAAAGGUCCCUGGUCGAGCAUUGCUCUCGGGGCGCCGGCUUAUUUGGAUAUUUAAGUGACCAGACUGGAGGUAAGGUCCCUGGUCGAGCUUUGCUCUCGGGGCGCCAGUCUUAUUGGAUAAGAGAGCCAAAAGGCUAAGGCUGAGAGUUAAGUGACCGGACUGGAGAUAAGGUCCAUGGUCGAGCUUUGCUCUCUGGGCGCCAGUCCUGUUGGAAUGAGAGGUUUGAGAUUUUAGAGUUGGGAUUAGAGUUCUACUGAAGUACUCCGUCCCGUUGCAUGUGGAAUAAAUUUUGUUUAAGCAUGGCAUGACACGUAUGGUUCGCGUGAUUUAUUAAUUAUUUUAAAAUUAAAUGAAUGUGACAUUGAGAUAUUUGAAACUGUUUUAGAUAUAUGAUUUUAACUCACUCUCGAGACUGACAGUCUCCAUUUAUUUUUUUUCAG
This 562-nucleotide long non-coding RNA is filed under the name Ricinus communis (castor bean). Its description in RNAcentral is "long non-coding RNA (RCOM_LNC000180)". The record is from RNAcentral. Lineage: Eukaryota; Viridiplantae; Streptophyta; Magnoliopsida; Malpighiales; Euphorbiaceae.